GACGGGGGGGGCAAGUGUUCUUCGGAAUUACUGGGCGUAAAGCGUGCGCAGGCGGUUCUCCAAGUCCGUUGUGAAAGCCCCGGGCUCAACCUGGGAAUGGCAGUGGAAACUAGGGGACUGGAAUCUGGCAGAGGGGGGUGGAAUGCCGCGUGUAGCAGUGAAAUGCGUAGAGAUGCGGCGGAACACCGAUGGCGAAGGCAGCCCCCUGGGCUGAGAUUGACGCUCAGGCACGAAAGCGUGGGGAGCAAACAGG
RNAcentral lists this ribosomal RNA (253 nucleotides) under uncultured bacterium. RNAcentral's name for it is "partial 16S ribosomal RNA". It matches the Rfam family "Bacterial small subunit ribosomal RNA", at positions 524 to 776 of the family's 1533-position model. The record is from RNAcentral.